GACAGAAGGUGCAAGCGUUACUCGGAAUUACUGGGCGUAAAGCGUCUGUAGGUUUUUGACCACGUCUGGCGUGAAAUUUCGGGGGCUCAACCCCGUACCCAUGCUGGAAACGAGUCGGAUAGAGUCAUUCAGAGGCAUCUGGAAUGUCGUGUGUAGGGGUAAAAUCCGUAGAUACACGAUGGAACGCCAAAAGUGAAGACAGGAUGCUAGGAAUGUACUGACACUCAGAGACGAAAGCGUGGGGAGCAAAGGGG
Molecule: ribosomal RNA, 254 nt
Filed under: uncultured bacterium
Lineage: Bacteria
Description: partial 16S ribosomal RNA
Rfam family: Bacterial small subunit ribosomal RNA
Source: RNAcentral